Non-coding RNA from Nocardia terpenica, 69 nucleotides. It matches the Rfam family "ASpks TB sRNA". NCBI's taxonomy places the organism in Bacteria, Bacillati, Actinomycetota, Actinomycetes, Mycobacteriales, Nocardiaceae. The record is from Rfam.
UUUGAUCGACCCGAGCCACAGCGGCCGCUCCCGCCCCUGCCCGUAGGUCGCCAGCAACGCCUGCGCCUC